GCAAGCUUUUUUAUUGCUCCUCCGUCUGGUCGUCAACCUCCGGGAAAAAUAUCAAGAAACUUCAAUAUAUCCAGAACUUUGCCGCACGUAUCAUCAGCGGUCAUAGAAAAUAUGAUCACGUGACUCCAAUAUUAAAAGAGCUUCAUUGGAUUCCAGUGAAAGAGCAUCUAUACUAUCGAGACGCAGUAUUGGCCUUUAAGUGCAUGAAUGGAAUGGUACCAGAAUAUUUGAGUUCGCAAUUUACUGCCAGAGGAGCAGUAAGCGGAAGAAUAACCAGGCAAUCUGGUCAACUUAACAUUCCUCUUUUUACUAGUGCAACAGGACAAAAAACUUUCCAAUAUCGUAUAACUAAACUCUGGAACGAGCUGCCAUCUAAUCUUAAAUUAAUUAGAACGAUUAGUAGUUUUAAAACCGAACUGAAAAAGA
Non-coding RNA from Paramuricea clavata, 426 nucleotides. The record is from the annotation of a GenBank genome assembly. Lineage: Eukaryota; Metazoa; Cnidaria; Anthozoa; Malacalcyonacea; Plexauridae.